GACGAACGCUGGCGGCGUGCUUAACACAUGCAAGUCGAACGAAGAGCGAUGGAAGCUUGCUUCUAUCAAUCUUAGUGGCGAACGGGUGAGUAACGCGUAAUCAACCUGCCCUUCAGAGGGGGACAACAGUUGGAAACGACUGCUAAUACCGCAUACGAUCCAAUCUCGGCAUCGGGACUGGAUGAAAGGUGGCCUCUAUUUAUAAGCUAUCACUGAAGGAGGGGAUUGCGUCUGAUUAGCUAGUUGGAGGGGUAACGGCCCACCAAGGCGAUGAUCAGUAGCCGGUCUGAGAGGAUGAACGGCCACAUUGGGACUGAGACACGGCCCAGACUCCUACGGGAGGCAGCAGUGGGGAAUCUUCCGCAAUGGACGAAAGUCUGACGGAGCAACGCCGAGUGAGGGAUGACGGCCUUCGGGUUGUAAAGCUCUGUUAAUCGGGACGAAUGGUUCUUGUGCGAAUAGUGCGAGGAUUUGACGGUACCGGAAUAGAAAGCCACGGCUAACUACGUG
This 510-nucleotide ribosomal RNA is filed under the name uncultured bacterium. RNAcentral's name for it is "partial 16S ribosomal RNA". It matches the Rfam family "Bacterial small subunit ribosomal RNA", at positions 28 to 507 of the family's 1533-position model. The record is from RNAcentral.